This 896-nucleotide ribosomal RNA is filed under the name Wolbachia pipientis. RNAcentral's name for it is "bacterial SSU rRNA". It matches the Rfam family "Bacterial small subunit ribosomal RNA", at positions 72 to 1002 of the family's 1533-position model. The record is from RNAcentral. Lineage: Bacteria; Pseudomonadati; Pseudomonadota; Alphaproteobacteria; Rickettsiales; Anaplasmataceae.
UUGUAGCCUUGCUAUGGUAUAACUUAGUGGCAGACGGGUGAGUAAUGUAUAGGAAUCUACCUAGUAGUACGGAAUAAUUGUUGGAAACGGCAACUAAUACCGUAUACGCCCUACGGGGGAAAAAUUUAUUGCUAUUAGAUGAGCCUAUAUUAGAUUAGCUAGUUGGUGGAGUAAUAGCCUACCAAGGCAAUGAUCUAUAGCUGAUCUGAGAGGAUGAUCAGCCACACUGGAACUGAGAUACGGUCCAGACUCCUACGGGAGGCAGCAGUGGGGAAUAUUGGACAAUGGGCGAAAGCCUGAUCCAGCCAUGCCGCAUGAGUGAAGAAGGCCUUUGGGUUGUAAAGCUCUUUUAGUGAGGAAGAUAAUGACGGUACUCACAGAAGAAGUCCUGGCUAACUCCGUGCCAGCAGCCGCGGUAAUACGGAGAGGGCUAGCGUUAUUCGGAAUUAUUGGGCGUAAAGGGCGCGUAGGCGGAUUAGUAAGUUAAAAGUGAAAUCCCAAGGCUCAACCUUGGAAUUGCUUUUAAAACUGCUAAUCUAGAGAUUGAAAGAGGAUAGAGGAAUUCCUAGUGUAGAGGUGAAAUUCGUAAAUAUUAGGAGGAACACCAGUGGCGAAGGCGUCUAUCUGGUUCAAAUCUGACGCUGAGGCGCGAAGGCGUGGGGAGCAAACAGGAUUAGAUACCCUGGUAGUCCACGCUGUAAACGAUGAAUGUUAAAUAUGGGAAGUUUUACUUUCUGUAUUACAGCUAACGCGUUAAACAUUCCGCCUGGGGACUACGGUCGCAAGAUUAAAACUCAAAGGAAUUGACGGGGACCCGCACAAGCGGUGGAGCAUGUGGUUUAAUUCGAUGCAACGCGAAAAACCUUACCACUCCUUGACAUGAAAAUCAUUACCUA